UGGUGGAGUGAUUUGUCUGCUUAAUUGCGAUAACGAACGAGACCUUAACCUGCUAAAUAGCCAGGCUAGCUUUGGCUGGUCGCCGGCUUCUUAGAGGGACUAUCGGUCUCAAGCCGAUGGAAGUUUGAGGCAAUAACA
This 138-nucleotide ribosomal RNA is filed under the name uncultured eukaryote. RNAcentral describes it as "partial 18S ribosomal RNA". It matches the Rfam family "Eukaryotic small subunit ribosomal RNA", at positions 1299 to 1458 of the family's 1831-position model. The record is from RNAcentral.